This 1841-nucleotide long non-coding RNA is filed under the name Anthonomus grandis grandis. RNAcentral's name for it is "uncharacterized LOC126743509". The record is from RNAcentral. Lineage: Eukaryota; Metazoa; Arthropoda; Insecta; Coleoptera; Curculionidae.
CUUAGGAAGAAACUACUGUGCUUGAUGACUCAUUUAUCAGAAUACAACAGUACUACAAUACCUUAUCUUGACAAAUACCUGUGCAGGUUUUACCUGUGCUAUGAAAGAACAUCUUUGACUACUUAAAAAAUCUUAAAUUUGUGUAAAUAGAUUAAAAUCACAACUUAUGAGUGGAAUAUAGAUAUUCUAUGAGAAAGAGAACUGUGAAUAACUUUAAAAAACGGUUCCUAAUAAGGUAUAUGGUCUGAAGGUAUAUAAAUAAGGCACCAAGUUGACCUCUACAGGAUUUCCGAAAAAACUGAAAUAUUUCUAUAUAUUUACGGGCCAAGUGAAAGCUGCUCUGACAGGAGCACACUUUUCGGCCUGAUAUUUCACGAUUGUGGCUGGAAAACUUCGCGAGACUCACGAUAAAUCACGGGCACACGUGUGGAAACUAUUCAACUCACCCAUAAAACAGUCCUUUUCACUAUAUUAUGCCUAAAAAUUAACACACACCUCAAAAAAGCAUACUUUCAGAGUUUCACAAGAUGGCUGGACGAACAGAAUUUUGCGACGUUGCCGGCUCGUUGACUCGUGGCCCGGGACUGAAUCACCGAUACUCGAAAUGUCAAAGUGUGAUACAAAAUAAAAGUGCUUUCGCUGUUUUCGGGCGUGGACUUGUGGUAAAAAAAAAUUACAGUUCUACAUGUUGCAUGUUGCAAGUCGGGUAGCGAUUGUUAAACAAGUAAAUUUUAAUAAUUUUACCAUAAUAAAUAAUUAAAAUGUUAUUAUGUAAUAAGUUAAUGACAAUGUCCCUCUUUCUGACUGACAUAUAAUAUGUCAAGAGAGCAAAAACGAUAUUUUUCCAAAAUGGUUUUUUUGUUCCUGAGAAUAUUUUUAAAUAAAUUUUACUUUAAUGCCUUUGACUGGUGGCACUGUUUGAGCGAUUAAAUAAAUAAUGAGUUGGAUGUAACAGCAGACGAUGAAAAUGAAAUCUUAGAGGAAGCCUCUCAAGACGUAUUUGGGGACGCAAGUACGGAAAUCAACAUUCCCACAGAUACUGGUAGUGCAAAUGCAGCGGAAGAUCCAAGCAAUUAUUCCGCAAAAAAAAACAAUUCAAGUCACCGGCAAAUAAAGAAAAUCUAAAAGAAAAGCAGUGGAUGUAGUACAAGAGCGUAUGAAUGAAGCAUAUAAAAUUUUAAAAACUUCUGUAAGUAGCGAAAAGCCAACAAUCAGCCAAACGUCGCUGUUUUGGCAGUUGGUCGCUCAGAAGUUAGAAGCGUUGGAUGAAGUUGAAAGAGCGAUAGCUAUGAAUGAGAUUGAUAAUUUGCUAUUUCGUGCUACUAUGAGACAUAUGGAUCAGCGAUCUCACAAUUUAUCUCGUUGUAAUAAUACAACUCCUGAACAGUAUCCUUCCUAUGGCAAUCAACAGCAUGCGUACCCUUUUUCGGCAGUAAACCAUUCAUCACCUGCAAAUUCCUAUACCUCUCAGCCAUCUCCAGGGCAGAACAUCUUGCAACCAAGCCCUAAUCAGUACGAAAAUCAGUAUCAAGCUGCAUCACCAUCAAUUACAACCAUGGAGCCUGCUAAAUCUCAGAAUGGACAACCUAAUACCUUUAUUCCCGUACCGCCAUUUUCACCUUUAUAGUUGGGUAGUCAGUUACUUUUUAUGUUUAGGUUUUGAUAUUAUUCAGAAAAAAAAUAUUGAUUUAUGUUAAAUUUAAUUCGGGGAUAUAGGAGAAUAUACAUUAUGCAAAAAUGUGAAUAACAACAACACAUUUACCAUUAAACUUUUAGUAUACAUAUAGAGAAAACUCAUGCUAUUUAAGCAGUUAUAAAAUUUUCAAUGAUGUAAUUUUCUA